Molecule: ribosomal RNA, 700 nt
Filed under: uncultured bacterium
Lineage: Bacteria
Description: bacterial SSU rRNA
Rfam family: Bacterial small subunit ribosomal RNA
Source: RNAcentral
AGAGUUUGAUCAUGGCUCAGAACGAACGCUGGCGGCGUGCCUAACACAUGCAAGUCGAGCGCGAAAAGAGCAAUCUGAGUAGAGCGGCGCACGGGUGCGUAACACGUGGGUAAUCUGCCUCAGGGUUGAGGAUAACCUUCCGAAAGGUUGGCUAAUACUCGGUAAGCUUACGGUGACUUUGGUCAUUGUGAGAAAACUAGACCUCUAUUUAUAAGUUUAGGCCCAGAGAUGAGCCCGCGGCCCAUCAGCUAGUUGGCGGGGUAACGGCCCACCAAGGCAACGACGGGUAGCUGGUCUGAGAGGACGAUCAGCCACACUGGAACUGAGACACGGUCCAGACUCCUACGGGAGGCAGCAGUGGGGAAUUUUCCACAAUGGGCGAAAGCCUGAUGGAGCAACGCCGCGUGUGUGAUGAAGGUCUUCGGAUCGUAAAGCACUUUCGACCGGGACGAAAAACCUCUGGCUAACAUCCAGGGGCCUGACGGUACCGGGAGAAGAAGCACCGGCUAACUCUGUGCCAGCAGCCGCGGUAAUACAGAGGGUGCAAGCGUUGUUCGGAAUUAUUGGGCGUAAAGCGCGUGUAGGCGGCUUGGCAAGUCAGAUGUGAAAGCCCUCGGCUUAACCGAGGAAGUGCGUCUGAAACUGCUGAGCUUGAGUCUCGGAGAGGAUGGCGGAAUUCCGCAAGUAGAGGUGAAAUUCG